RNAcentral lists this transfer RNA (73 nucleotides) under Pseudomonadota bacterium. RNAcentral describes it as "Proteobacteria bacterium (wastewater metagenome) tRNA-Lys". It matches the Rfam family "tRNA". Rfam says of the family: Transfer RNA (tRNA) molecules are approximately 80 nucleotides in length. Their secondary structure includes four short double-helical elements and three loops (D, anti-codon, and T loops). Further hydrogen bonds mediate the characteristic L-shaped molecular structure. tRNAs have two regions of fundamental functional importance: the anti-codon, which is responsible for specific mRNA codon recognition, and the 3' end, to which the tRNAs corresponding amino acid is attached (by aminoacyl-tRNA synthetases). tRNAs cope with the degeneracy of the genetic code in two manners: having more than one tRNA (with a specific anti-codon) for a particular amino acid; and 'wobble' base-pairing, i.e. permitting non-standard base-pairing at the 3rd anti-codon position. The record is from RNAcentral. Lineage: Bacteria; Pseudomonadati; Pseudomonadota.
GGGUGAUUAGCUCAGUUGGUAGAGCAGCUGACUCUUAAUCAGCGGGUCGGUGGUUCGAACCCACCAUCACCCA